AUGAACGCUGGCGGCGUGCCUAAUCCAUGCAAGUCGAGCGAACGGACGAGAAGCUUGCUUCUCUGAUGUUAGCGGCGGACGGGUGAGUAACACGUGGAUAACCUACCUAUAAGACUGGGAUAACUUCGGGAAACCGGAGCUAAUACCGGAUAAUAUUUUGAACCGCAUGGUUCAAAAGUGAAAGACGGUCUUGCUGUCACUUAUAGAUGGAUCGCGCUGCAUUAGCUAGUUGGUAAGGUAACGGCUUACCAAGGCAACGAUGCAUAGCCGACCUGAGAGGGUGAUCGGCCACACUAGAACUGAGACACGGUCCAGACUCCUACGGGAGGCAGCAGUAGGGAAUCUUCCGCAAUGGGCGAAAGCCUGACGGAGCAACGCCGCGUGAGUGAUGAAGGUCUUCGGAUCGUAAAACUCUGUUAUUAGGGAAGAACAUAUGUGUAAGUAACUGUGCACAUCUUGACGGUACCUAAUCAGAAAGCCACGGCUAACUACGUG
Molecule: ribosomal RNA, 495 nt
Filed under: uncultured bacterium
Lineage: Bacteria
Description: partial 16S ribosomal RNA
Rfam family: Bacterial small subunit ribosomal RNA
Source: RNAcentral